UGUUGAAAAGCUUUGAGAAAUGUUAUAUGUGAAAUGGAAGAAAACAUGAUUCAGUGAGCAGGACAUGGGAAAUCCAAAUGAAAUGAAAAAAAGGAUGUGGCACAUUUUUAUUCAAGAAUCAUUUUGGUGUUCUCACAUGGACAGGAAGAUGAUGUGAAAUUUCAUUCUUUAUAUAGUCAAAUAAGGCAGAGCAUCGUAUCAAUAGCACAAACUCUGGAAACAUCAUGAAGGGGCUGCUUGUUCUGUACUCUAGAGAGGCCUUGGUUUCCUGUUGAACCUCUGCCUUUGCCAGCUCCCUGUUUUGUCCUGAUGCCCAAUGCAGCAGUAAGUGGAAUGGGAGACACUGCACGAGGAUGGCCAUUGCUGAAGUGCAUGUGUUGCAUCACGUGUUGCUCAUCAGGUAUGUAUAGGAGAGACUUGAAAGAGGAUUAUUUCUUGCUGGAGCUUUAAACUGAGAGCCCAUUAUGGAACCUUUUGAGGUGAGCUUCGCUGGCUUUAGAGAACUUAAAAUAGUAGAAAUAGUAAGAUACUAAGAUAGGAUUUUUAAAACUUAGAGCUACUUCUUUUGCCUUCUCGAGCAUGAUCUGAUAAAACUUUAGUAAAAAUGCCCAGAUGGACAGCUUUUCUUGCAUGCAUCAGCCUUUAUAUCAUUAUGUAGUAAUGUCUAAGAUCAGCUGUGAGUCAGUUUU
This 689-nucleotide long non-coding RNA is filed under the name Junco hyemalis (dark-eyed junco). Its description in RNAcentral is "lncRNA (ENSJHYG00000001269.1)". The record is from RNAcentral. Lineage: Eukaryota; Metazoa; Chordata; Aves; Passeriformes; Passerellidae.